AUUACAUAUUUUAUGUUUCCGUAAUUAAAUGUAUUAUUUGAUUAAUCAAAGAACAUAUAAAAGUGAUAUUAAAUAUCUGAAGAAUAAAAAUUAUCUCAUAAAAUGAAAGGCUAAAUUAAGAAUAUAUGAGAUUAAACUGAGAAUACAUAUAGUGACUUUUCAUUAAAUUAUUGGGAGAAAAUUAGUAAAACAUGAAGCAUUACAAUACAUAUUUUGUGGUAAAACAUUUUUAAUGAAAAUAAUGUAUAAACAAUUUUGUGUAUUAGUAAUAUCUAGCUAUGGUAAUAUUUGGAUCCUGAUAUAAGUAUAUCUGACAUCUCAUUCAAGUUAACAUAAUUUCUAGUAGUAUUUUUUCAUGACCUCUAUGAGCAGGUUUGGGUAAAAAAGGUCAAUAAGAAAUAAGUCUCUGUAUGGUAUAUACAAUGAUGUCAAGUAGCUGUAAGAUUUCGGAAUAAGAGGUAAAACUAACGUAGCUGACAUGUAUCUUUGAUGUUUGGAUGAUGUAGUGAAUUCCCUCAGUUUCUCUGGACAAGAGUUUUAGCAAGUACCAGAAACCGCAAAUCACAGCUGAAGAAGGGCCAAUAGUCUCACUUCUGCCUCAAAUUACCUGUUUCCAGAUUUGAAGACUGUGAUUACCCAAGUCUUUAAGAGAUAUAAUGAAGACAGCACUUUGCACCCUUGAAUUUUACUCAUUGCAUUACAAUAAAGAGGAAUGCUCCUGGUAGAAGCAUUCUUCUCUCUUAAAGAUCUAAAAGAUUUCUAAGAUCUCCAGACCAGCAGAGCAUGACGUUGUGGAAAAAGAAAGCAAAAAUUCUGUGACUCACUAAGGGUAAU
Molecule: long non-coding RNA, 834 nt
Filed under: Homo sapiens (human)
Lineage: Eukaryota; Metazoa; Chordata; Mammalia; Primates; Hominidae
Description: HSALNT0203087
Source: RNAcentral